AAGACUAUAGACCUGCGGAGUACCUGCGGAAGGAUCAUUACAGAGUUUACAACUCCCAAACCCACUGUGAACCUUACAGCGUCGUUGCCUCGGCGGACCGCCCCCGGCGCGGCCCCCCUCGGGGGGGCGCCCGGGACCACGGCGCCCGCCGGAGGACCCAAACUCUUGUAUUUGCAGGAUGCAUUGCUCUGAGUGAAAACAAGCAAAUGAAUCAAAACUUUUAACAAUGGAUCUCUAGAU
Molecule: unclassified non-coding RNA, 240 nt
Filed under: soil metagenome
Description: partial contains 5.8S ribosomal RNA, internal transcribed spacer 2, and large subunit ribosomal RNA
Source: RNAcentral